Ameiurus melas (black bullhead) is the source of this 71-nucleotide non-coding RNA. NCBI's taxonomy places the organism in Eukaryota, Metazoa, Chordata, Actinopteri, Siluriformes, Ictaluridae. The record is from the annotation of a GenBank genome assembly.
GCUAGAAUAGUGCAGUGGUAACAUGUUUGUUUACUAUACCAGUGACCAGGGUUUGAGCCUCAGCUCUUCUA